CCUACGGGUGACAGCAGUGAGGAAUAUUGGUCAAUGGGCGCGAGCCUGAACCAGCCAAGUAGCGUGAAGGAUGACUGCCCUAUGGGUUGUAAACUUCUUUUAUAAAGGAAUAAAGUGAGGCACGUGUGCUUUUUUGUAUGUACUUUAUGAAUAAGGAUCGGCUAACUCCGUGCCAGCAGCCGCGGUAAUACGGAGGAUCCGAGCGUUAUCCGGAUUUAUUGGGUUUAAAGGGAGCGUAGGUGGGUUGUUAAGUUAGUUGUGAAAUGUUGGGGCUCAACCCUGGAACUGCAUCUAAUACUGGCGAUCUUGAGAGCAGAUGAGGUAGGCGGAAUGCGUGGUGUAGCGGUGAAAUGCUUAGAUAUCACGAAGAACUCCGAUUGCGAAGGCAGCUUACUAAACUGCCACUGACGUUGAUGCUCGAAAGCGUGGGUAGCAAACAGGAUUAGAUACCCGGGUAGUC
Molecule: ribosomal RNA, 460 nt
Filed under: uncultured bacterium
Lineage: Bacteria
Description: partial 16S ribosomal RNA
Rfam family: Bacterial small subunit ribosomal RNA
Source: RNAcentral